RNAcentral lists this ribosomal RNA (250 nucleotides) under uncultured Quadrisphaera sp. RNAcentral describes it as "partial 16S ribosomal RNA". It matches the Rfam family "Bacterial small subunit ribosomal RNA", at positions 524 to 773 of the family's 1533-position model. The record is from RNAcentral. Lineage: Bacteria; Bacillati; Actinomycetota; Actinomycetes; Kineosporiales; Kineosporiaceae.
UACGUAGGGUGCAAGCGUUGUCCGGAAUCAUUGGGCGUAAAGAGCUCGUAGGCGGUCUGUCGCGUCUGCUGUGAAAACCUGGGGCUUAACCCCGGGCCUGCAGUGGGUACGGGCAGACUAGAGUGCGGUAGGGGAGACUGGAAUUCCUGGUGUAGCGGUGAAAUGCGCAGAUAUCAGGAGGAACACCGGUGGCGAAGGCGGGUCUCUGGGCCGUAACUGACGCUGAGGAGCGAAAGCAUGGGUAGCGAAC